This 112-nucleotide ribosomal RNA is filed under the name Streptococcus sanguinis. RNAcentral's name for it is "partial 23S ribosomal RNA". It matches the Rfam family "Bacterial large subunit ribosomal RNA", at positions 1 to 112 of the family's 2925-position model. The record is from RNAcentral. Lineage: Bacteria; Bacillati; Bacillota; Bacilli; Lactobacillales; Streptococcaceae.
GUUAAGUUAGUAAGGGCGCACGGUGGAUGCCUUGGCACUAGGAGCCGAUGAAGGACGUGACAAACGACGAAAUAGCCUCGGGGAGCUGUAAGUAAGCUUCGAUCCGGAGAUG